This 483-nucleotide ribosomal RNA is filed under the name uncultured bacterium. Its description in RNAcentral is "partial 16S ribosomal RNA". It matches the Rfam family "Bacterial small subunit ribosomal RNA", at positions 30 to 507 of the family's 1533-position model. The record is from RNAcentral.
UUGAACGCUGGCGGCAUGCCUUACACAUGCAAGUCGAACGGCAGCACGGACUUCGGUCUGGUGGCGAGUGGCGAACGGGUGAGUAAUGUAUCGGAACGUACCUUUCAGUGGGGGAUAACGUAGCGAAAGUUACGCUAAUACCGCAUAUUCUGUGAGCAGGAAAGCAGGGGAUCGAAAGACCUUGCGCUGAUUGAGCGGCCGAUAUCAGAUUAGCUAGUUGGUGGGGUAAAGGCCUACCAAGGCGACGAUCUGUAGCGGGUCUGAGAGGAUGAUCCGCCACACUGGAACUGAGACACGGUCCAGACUCCUACGGGAGGCAGCAGUGGGGAAUUUUGGACAAUGGGGGCAACCCUGAUCCAGCCAUGCCGCGUGAGUGAAGAAGGCCUUCGGGUUGUAAAGCUCUUUCGGCCGGGAAGAAAUCGCAUAGGCUAAUACCCUGUGUGGAUGACGGUACCGGAAUAAGAAGCACCGGCUAACUACGUG